CGUGUGACGUCAGGGCGUGAUGACGCGUUUCACCGGUAUGCCGGCUACCUCAGAUGGAGUGCUCCUAACCUUUACCUGAAUAAAAGACACCUAUCCACAGAAGCAAUCAAUCAGAUUCCAAACUCUCCACCAUGGCUAAGACCAAAGAGCAGUCGAAGGAUGUCAGGAACAAGAUUGUAGACCUAUACAAGGCUGGAAUGGGCUACAAGACCAUCGCCAAGCACCUUGGUGAGAAGGUGACAACAGUUGGUGCGAUUAUUCGCAAAUGGAAGAAACACUAAAUAACUGUCAGUCUCCCUUGGUCUGGUUCUCCAUGCAAGAUCUCACCUCAUGGAGUUCAAUGAUCAUGAGAAGGGUGAGGAAUCAGCCUAGAACUAUAUGUGAGAAUCUUGUUAAAGGGACACCCAGACCACUUGUAAUGGUAUUUAUUAAUUACGGAUAUAAAUUUCAGCGCUUAGUUAAUAAUCCCCUUAUAAAUAACAAGGGUGCAUCUAUAUGCAAGUGGUAUGUAUGA
Non-coding RNA from Pelobates cultripes (western spadefoot toad), 514 nucleotides. The record is from the annotation of a GenBank genome assembly. NCBI's taxonomy places the organism in Eukaryota, Metazoa, Chordata, Amphibia, Anura, Pelobatidae.